AAUUUUUUAAUAUAAUAAGUAUAUUCUGCUUCCAACUGAAAUGCCUAGUACAACUAGAAAAAUUA
This 65-nucleotide transfer RNA is filed under the name Nephropsis grandis. RNAcentral's name for it is "tRNA-Gly". The record is from RNAcentral. Lineage: Eukaryota; Metazoa; Arthropoda; Malacostraca; Decapoda; Nephropidae.